AGUCCUGAGGAGCAUCUCCAGAGGCUUACACUUCUAAGAUUUUCUGGGCACCGGAGAGAAGCAAGGGAGCCUUAUAGGAAAGUUAAAAAGGCCCUCCGAGAUUCUUAAAUUCAAUCCACAAUCUCUAGGGGCUCUGGCCCUCUUCUGCUGGGGUCAUGGAGGUGCUGUGAGCCACUGGGACGGGGUCCACUACCUCAGGAGACCUCUGCUCAGGACAAGUUGGCAGGGGAUGGAGGCUGUUGGUGGUGGUAUGGAGAAGAUGUCAAGAGUUCCCACGUCUGCGCCCUUCCGUAAGGCGCAGGUUGAGGCUGGUUUAGGAACAAGCCCGCUAGCGAGGCUUAUGCGGUUCAUUUUUUAGGUCGACGUUUUCAAAAGUUCCUAUACUUUUGUUGUUAGUAUUCAUAUCUUUACUACAAAUGGAAGCCCUUUGAUCACGUUACUCUCCUCAGGGGUUUGAGACCCCACUAGGAGUGGGCAGGCACGUUCAUGACGCUUGAAGGUCUGCUUGUUCCAGAGUUUUCCGGGAGGACCUCUAGGCCGCAGGAGCACCCUACAGGCAGCGUCCAGGAAAGGGGGUUGGCGCAUUCCCUCUGGGCUGCACUUGUAGCAGGUCAGAGGGUUCCAGCAAAGGCCUCUCCCUUGACUCUGCAACCUAAGGUCAGCUUUUCGAGGUUCCCCCUAUCCCGGGGCAAGGCCGCCAAUUUUCCAUCGGAUUUUACAGUCUGGCUCCGUAGGUGUGCCCGAGCCCAAGCUCCACCAGAGCAGGGUAGGGUGGGGAAGUUAUCCGGCUUCAGAAUGUUUCAGGUGGGGCCUCCCUAGGAGGGCCUGGAAUGCCGGAAAUGCGCGUCCCCAGCCCCCACCCUGGGUGGAAGGACCUGGUCCUCCCGCCUCCCAAGAAUCCCGCAUUUCCCAAGACUCCCCAGCCUCCGGCGGCCGUCGCGCGCGCGCGGCGUAAGUACGCAGAGGCGCCGGGCGCGUCUGGCGCCCCUCUCCCGCUGGGCUGCGCCCUACGUGGAGACGACUGCCGCCGAAUUUGGCCCGGUCCAGACUCCAGACCCGGGCCCGCCCGCUCCUCACACCCGGCCUUUGCGAGAAAGUGAACUAGGGGGAGAGGCGAGCCCCGGGGACCCUGGGCGAGCUCGGACCCCACAAGGCUCGCCGGGCUGUACCGGGCGGUGCAGAGACGGGACUCUGGGGUGGGGGGGCGCGCCCCCUCCUGAGCCUCUUUCUCCUACCCCCGACUACUGGAAGGAAGAGAAAAGUCAGCUAUGCGCCAUGUAGGUGUGACCACAAGUGGCCGCGGCACGGAAGCGAUAACAUUGUGUAGCGGUCAGAACCCACGGCCAGCUCGCGGCGGGGAAGGGGCCUGGGGGUCGCUCCCCGCCUCAGCCUCCGGGCUCUCGGGACGACCUUCGGUGACACGCCAGCGCCUAGGGCCACGGAGAUCCAGGGCUCACGCCUCUUCGAACCGGCUGUGCAAGGAGGGCAUCUCCUUCCUCAAACUUACUUGCUGGGAAGCAGCGGGGGCGCGGCGGGGGAGACCCCUUGGAACGUUUCCGUGUGUUCAGAAGUGAACUAGCAGCGCAGACGCCUCUCACAGCGGCUCGUCUCCCAGGCUAAGCAGCCAGGUCUCGGUUUUGCGCCUCUGGACCUUAUUGAAUGUCAUUGAAGAAAGUUUUGAAUGCCAGAUAAAGAGAGGCGAAUUAAAGUGUGUGACAGCGGAGGAUAAGCAAACACAAAGAGAACUCUGUCACACUUUGGGGCAAAAUCCGUGGGCUUUUUACCAAGUCUCUUCGCUAUGAUUGAAUUAAGUAAUAGGAAAACAUUUUCUUUCAGUUUAGAGCCAUUAGACAAAAACUUCAAAGCGAAUAACACUUUUUAAUGUGCGGCCCACAAUGGAUCGGGUUUUGUGCUGAAAUGUUUAAAUGGUUUGUUGUGCAACUCGGCGCGGGAGAGACCCGGGCCCAAGCAAAAUAGCAUCCCUGAGAGGGUUUUCGGGAGGCCUGGAAAGGACGCACACUUAAUCCGCCGUCGCUAAACCCGGAGGGCGGCGGGCGGCAGGCGGAACGGGGGCUCCUGCUUGGCGGUCCCGGGCAGCGCGGCGCGCCCCCAGGAGUUGGGGGAUUUCGGGAAAGUACUGUGCCCACGGAGAAUGCCGGGCCGCAGCGGAGGCGCACCGGGCGGCCGGGAAAACGUGCGGCCCCGCUAGGGGAGCGAGCUCGGCUAGGUGCUCAGUGCCUCUCAGCUCCGCCGCCCAGCCCGUCGGCCUCGGCUGGCCGCUUGGCUUCCGGCCUCUGCCCUCGCAUCCCGGGGGACCGGUUCCCGGGGACGCCCUGGCUGCCGCGCUGCUGUCCCGGUCGAAGCCCCUUCCGGGUCUGGCUUCAGCUGGGUUUGAACUUUACUCACAGAGUUAACGGCCCCCUUGGGCUGGCAGGGUGGGAGGAGGCGGCUGGAUUAGCCUGACAACCCGAGAGAGGGGCCCCGGGGAGCCCCUCGGCCUGGUGGGCCUUGCUCUGCCCCCGGAGCUGGUUUUCAAGUGUCCAUCAGGGACAGUUCAACAUGGAAUGAUUUCUGUUGUCCCGCUCUUUUCUCUUUCACACUGCCUCCUUUCCUGUUGGUAGAGAGAGCACGCCAUUUUUCUCCUGGAAAUGUAUCUCUAAAAUAUUUGCAGCGAAUAGAUCUCUGCAAAAACUGCAGAAAUUGGGAGGAGGGUGGGGAAUCCUUGUUCCUUUACAUCUUCAAAUGUCACUUUUCUUCUCAUGGAGGUCAACCACCCUAUUAAAAAAUAUGACUCCUUUUUCACCGCGUCCCCCACUCCAGUUCCUUGCUUUACAAAUACCUUCUAUCUUUCUGUGUCUUUUACUUGUUUUUCUGUCCCUGCCUCCCUCUCACCCCACUGAAACAUAUGCUCCAUCGAGGAUCACCCUAUUUGUCUAUCUUGUGCAUGACUGUAUCCACCUCAGAAAAGUUCCUGGCACAUAGUAGGUGCUCAGUGUAUAUUUGCUGAAUAAAUAAAUGAAUCCCAUGCAUGACUCCGGAAGUAGCAUGGGUAAGAGGA
Molecule: long non-coding RNA, 3058 nt
Organism: Mustela lutreola (European mink)
Lineage: Eukaryota; Metazoa; Chordata; Mammalia; Carnivora; Mustelidae
Exons: 2
Source: RefSeq, a predicted model, not a curated record